RNAcentral lists this ribosomal RNA (293 nucleotides) under uncultured bacterium. RNAcentral describes it as "partial 16S ribosomal RNA". It matches the Rfam family "Archaeal small subunit ribosomal RNA", at positions 455 to 747 of the family's 1478-position model. The record is from RNAcentral.
GUGCCAGCCGCCGCGGUAAUACCGGCAGCCCGAGUGAUGGCCGAUCUUAUUGGGCCUAAAGCGUCCGUAGCUGGCCGCGCAAGUCCAUCGGGAAAUCCACCCGCCCAACGGGUGGCCGUCCGGUGGAAACUGCACGGCUUGGGACCGGAAGGCGCGACGGGUACGUCCGGGGUAGGAGUGAAAUCCCGUAAUCCUGGACGGACCGCCGAUGGCGAAAGCACGUCGCGAGAACGGAUCCGACAGUGAGGGACGAAAGCUAGGGUCUCGAACCGGAUUAGAUACCCCAGUAGUCC